CCUACGGGAGGCAGCAGUGGGGAAUAUUGGACAAUGGGCGCAAGCCUGAUCCAGCAACGCCGCGUGGGGACGAAGGCUCUCGGGUUGUAAACCCCUUUUGGCGGGACGAUGAUGACGGUACCGCGAAUAAGCCCCGGCUAACUACGUGCC
RNAcentral lists this ribosomal RNA (150 nucleotides) under uncultured Alphaproteobacteria bacterium. RNAcentral describes it as "partial 16S ribosomal RNA". It matches the Rfam family "Bacterial small subunit ribosomal RNA", at positions 338 to 509 of the family's 1533-position model. The record is from RNAcentral. Lineage: Bacteria; Pseudomonadati; Pseudomonadota; Alphaproteobacteria.